RNAcentral lists this ribosomal RNA (499 nucleotides) under Phelsuma robertmertensi. RNAcentral's name for it is "partial 16S ribosomal RNA". It matches the Rfam family "Bacterial large subunit ribosomal RNA", at positions 1852 to 2588 of the family's 2925-position model. The record is from RNAcentral. Lineage: Eukaryota; Metazoa; Chordata; Lepidosauria; Squamata; Gekkonidae.
GUCCGACCUGCCCAGUGAACCCAUUUCAACGGCCGCGGUAUCCUAACCGUGCAAAGGUAGCAUAAUCACUUGUCCCCUAAAUAGAGACUUGUAUGAACGGUUAAAUGAGGGCUUAACUGUCUCCUGCAGCCAAUCAAUGAAAUUGAUCUCACAGUACAAACGCUGUAAUAUACCUAUAAGACGAAAAGACCCUGUGGAGCUUUAAAUACACCAUAUUAACCAACUCAACCGCUGUUAGUAUAAUAUAAAUUUUAAGUUGGGGCGACUAUGGAGUAAAACAAAACCUCCAUGUAACACGACUAAAACUCGUUAUAUCAGGCCGACAGGCCAAACAACAAACCUUUGACCCAGUCAAACUGACCAUCGAACCAAGUUACCCCAGGGAUAACAGCGCCAUCCCCUUAAAGAGUUCACAUCGACAAGGGGGUUUACGACCUCGAUGUUGGAUCAGGACACCCAAGUGGUGCAGCAGCUACUAAAGGUUCGUUUGUUCAACGAC